RNAcentral lists this ribosomal RNA (2542 nucleotides) under Triticum aestivum (bread wheat). Its description in RNAcentral is "partial small subunit ribosomal RNA". The record is from RNAcentral. Lineage: Eukaryota; Viridiplantae; Streptophyta; Magnoliopsida; Poales; Poaceae.
UGACUCACCUCGACUCGGUGACUCGCCACUCGGACCUAUUUCCUAGCUACCGGCCGCCGCUCCGUCCUCGCGGCAACGACCUCUUCUUCCUCCGCCAGAUGGCACUUCCCACGGGCCCUACGCGGCACCUCGCCUCCUUCUGCGACUUGGGGCCGCAGGGGAUGUUCCUCAAGAAGGUGUAGACCUGGUAGUAGGAGCGGAGCACAAACGGUCAUAGCAGUGAUAAGGGGAAGAACAUAAAGUACCAUGCAAAAAGAUUGCGUUUUCUUUUUGGUAUUGUAAACCCUAGUUUUCUCAUGUUUUGAGCGGGUACCUUAAUACACUCAUGUAGCAAAGAAAAAACUUCUGUAAUUCGAAACGUAACAUCCUUUACAAUUUACUACUUAGAACUUUGAUAUUUAUGCGAGAUCAAAACAGACACAUGUAUCAAACACAGACGUAAUGUAUAAGUAAACAGUACAAUAAUAAAUCAAGGGGUUCUCAUUAUUCAAUACUAUAGUAAAAUGAUUGUAUUUAACGUACGUAGACGUCAUACCUUGUCCUCGUCACAAGACAUGUAAUCAGGACUGAACCAAUAAAUACAAUUAUUAUCACAUCAUGACAUAGAUACGUUUACAGCCGGGUUGUAAUAGGUACUGGUGUCCAUGGGAAACUUUUUAUAACACACUAUGAGGAGAGUUUAUUGUCUAUGCUCUGAACAUGUAACGGUUUUGUCAGCUCCUGUAACCUAAGAUACGACCCAAACAUCCGCGGAGGAUAUACGAACCAUCUUGAAAUUGGAGGUGACGAACCCCCUACCAUCGUCUGGCGUAACCCUCUUUCGGUCAAUAACACGAACCUGAAAAGAGGCACUAAAAUAAGUCACGAAACAAGCCUGAUUCACACGUAAUGACCUACCGUCAUAGAUGUGCUAAAGAAGAACCAAGAAACUUGCCGUAUUAACCUGGAUAUUCUCGAAUACGAUAACUUCAAACAGCUGGUCUCGUGGUGCGAUAACGUAAUAGUGAACAAUCGUGUCGUACCCGUUAUCCAGAGUAAAAUCCUGGUUGCUAACCGCCUAUAGAACGUGUCGGAUGUCUUUUUAUAGGUUUCAAUAAAGGGCAGCUGAGUAAUAAGCCUUCCAAGGGUAUAAAUAAUGGAACAGACACAUAUAGUCAGAAGUCAAAAGGACAAGAUUAUUCGACGCAAACCGAGGGCCUCUGUGAUGUAUUGGUGUUGUGACUACUUUUCCUUCUAGUUCGCUCACUUAGAAACUGACGUUAAAAAAGAUGAUGCCUUCACUAACAGCUCGUAUUAUAAUGAAGUUGUUGCUUUUUGUUACAUAACUUCUUGACCGGUAACUACAGUAGAUAAUAAGACAAGACAUAGUAUAAGAGGAAUACCCGACUUUCACUGUCUUUCAUACCACCUGAUUCAAAGAGCAGACUCCUACAACCAGUUCAAGAACGUUAAUGUCCACAAUCGUAAGAACAUAUGGUUUGAAAAUAAAAAGGGGCAUAAUAGUCUCAAUACCCUGGUUAGUUAUGAAGAGCACAACGCUACUCAGACAGACACCACGAAGACAAAUGUAUACGUGGUUAGUGUGUAGAGAGUUCUGGAACCAGCAGUUAUCGUCAUUUGUAACGUAGCUAAGAAUUUUUAUUAAAAGAGUAAUGGUAACAAUGAUCAAGAAAGUAAGAAGUCUUAUUAAGACACUGAGUUCUAGUUUCUCGUUGGCGUUUACCGAAUCGGUGGUGAAAUUACAGGAAAACAUUUUGUAAACGAGGUUGUCCUCCACCUUAACACAAAAGUACCCGUGUCUUUGCGGUUGUACAAAAGAAAAAAGGUCCACUGGUCUACAACAAAAAAGAAAACCGAUAACAGCUCGAACACCCUGAACAAACCUGUAAGUUCGGCAAAGAACAACACGGACUAGUUAAAAGAAGUUUAAUCGUGAGAUCUAAACAUGCACGAUAAUACUCACGCACGGACAUAGCAUGAGAAGAAUGUCUUAAUAUAGGUAUGAAACCACCAUAUGCGCGAAGCUUAACCCAACAUUGCAUUAAUGCACCAAUCCUAAAACGCCUCAUAGAUUUUAUUCCUCUUUUGGUAAAAGUUCACAGUAAUAAUAGAGGGACGUUUGUUUAUCACGGUAAUAAAUAAUUAAUGUCUUUUUAUGAUACUUAGUUUACGUGGGGAUAACAGGUUAACAGUACCUCGGAAAAGAAAACUCUUUUAGAUGAAAUAUAUGCACACGUACACACGUGAGACCACAACACCGUAGGAUUACUUUACAAAAGGAAUAUCUCUCUAGUGUACGUACUUAGGUCUUAAAAUGUACAGUACGACUGUAGUAGUAUAAUUAACAAAAGAAACUCAAAAAAAUAGAACGUUUAUCAAUUAAACUAUCGACGAUCUACUAAGAACAAAGUUCUACUAACAGAGCUUCUAACACAUAUCGAUGACAACCACGUUAUCAACGGGAAAACACAAAACCUCUAACAACUGUCUUUCUCCGUACCUGACUAAACAAACGAUCACGUGUGUCUCUCUUUAUCAGGUA